Plutella xylostella (diamondback moth) is the source of this 889-nucleotide non-coding RNA. NCBI's taxonomy places the organism in Eukaryota, Metazoa, Arthropoda, Insecta, Lepidoptera, Plutellidae. The record is from RefSeq and is a predicted model, not a curated record.
UCGUGACAUGAAUGUUUGAGGAACUAACAUUAGUUAUGAGCCUGUCAACACCAAACAAUGCCAAACAUAAGUACAUCUGCUGUCAUCGAGUGGUGUUCUGAUACUGUUUUCCUUUUAUAUUGUUUAUUGUUUUAAUUAAAUUGCAAUAAAUUAGGGCCAAACUACGCGAAUAGGUUGGUAAAAUGAGUAAAGUGAACCGGAGUGGUACGCGGGAAGUAAUUUUUAAAGUUUUCCAGCGAUGUAUGGCGGAGUUCCAAGCUGGACAAAUUUUGUGGGAUUUGGAUGAUGUUUAUGGCCGAACAGCAUCUAUGACCGGAAAAUCAGAGACUAUUGAGCUCAUUUGGGCUAACGUAAAACAAAAAGUUGCAGCACACAAUGUUGGGUCACGUGAUGUGAAGCAACUUGCUGAAGAGGCCUUCAAUAGCAUCACGCCUGAAACAUGGAAAAACUGUUGCAAUCACGUCGAGACACUCGAAAAAGAAUACUACGAGCGAGGACGUCGCCUGUAUCAUGACAUAGACGAGCUGGUGAUUUGUUUAGGCGAUGAUAGCAGCAGCGGUGACAGCAGCUGUAGAGUUGACAGCGCUGCUGAUGAAAGCGGUAACAAGUAAUUUCUUGGUGUAGAAUAUUUGGAAUUUGAUGACGAUUGAUCUAUUUUCUAACUUUCAUAUUUUUACACCCACCAAGAUUGCUUUAACGCAAUCUCUAUUGUUGUUAGUAUAUGUAGUAUACCCGCACUACAGCUACCUCAUAAAACUUAAUUAGUACUUAUCUCUUCCAUCUAGAGGUUGUCCGGUAGAGAUUGGUUUAAGCUAUUGGUUGGGCCGCCUUUUUGUACUUCAUGUUCUGUAAUUUUAUUUAAUGGUGCAAAAUAAAGACAGUAAAUACA